CAUGUGGUUUAAUUCGAUGCAACGCGAAAAACCUUACCCACCUUUGACAUGUACGGAACCCUUUAGAGAUAGAGGGGUGCUCGAAAGAGAGCCGUAACACAGGUGCUGCAUGGCUGUCGUCAGCUCGUGUCGUGAGAUGUUGGGUUAAGUCCCGCAACGAGCGCAACCCUUGUCAUUAGUUGCUACAUUCAGUUGGGCACUCUAAUGAGACUGCCGGUGACAAGCCGGAGGAAGGUGGGGAUGACGUCAAGUCCUCAUGGCCCUUAUAGGUGGGGCUACACACGUCAUACAAUGGCUGGUACAAAGGGUUGCCAACCCGCGAGGGGGAGCCAAUCCCAUAAAGCCAGUCGUAGUCCGGAUCGUAGUCUGCAACUCGACUACGUGAAGUCGGAAUCGCUAGUAAUCGUGGAUCAGAAUGUCACGGUGAAUACGUUCCCGGGUCUU
RNAcentral lists this ribosomal RNA (444 nucleotides) under uncultured Rhodoferax sp. RNAcentral's name for it is "bacterial SSU rRNA". It matches the Rfam family "Bacterial small subunit ribosomal RNA", at positions 938 to 1382 of the family's 1533-position model. The record is from RNAcentral. Lineage: Bacteria; Pseudomonadati; Pseudomonadota; Betaproteobacteria; Burkholderiales; Comamonadaceae.